Molecule: long non-coding RNA, 260 nt
Organism: Heterocephalus glaber (naked mole-rat)
Lineage: Eukaryota; Metazoa; Chordata; Mammalia; Rodentia; Bathyergidae
Source: Ensembl
AGAGCCUUCUAUGUGCUAAGUCCUGGGCAGGGUGCUGAGUCGUCACAUGAGGCUGCAUUUGGCAGAAAAGACAACCAUGUGGCACUAACUACUCCAGUGACUGUGGCCUUCAGUGACAUGUGGCUGCUGGUGGACUGAACAAGAGCACACAGCACUGAACUGAGGAGAGACAUCCCAGCUUUGUUAAGCCCCAGCUCUGUCACUCGUAGUUAUCAAACUUGGACAAGCUUACUCACAGAAACGACAAGGUGGAAGGGCCC